RNAcentral lists this Y RNA (112 nucleotides) under Microcebus murinus (gray mouse lemur). RNAcentral's name for it is "Y RNA (ENSMICG00000044632.1)". It matches the Rfam family "Y RNA". Rfam says of the family: Y RNAs are components of the Ro ribonucleoprotein particle (Ro RNP), in association with Ro60 and La proteins. The Y RNAs and Ro60 and La proteins are well conserved, but the function of the Ro RNP is not known. Lineage: Eukaryota; Metazoa; Chordata; Mammalia; Primates; Cheirogaleidae. The record is from Rfam by way of RNAcentral.
AGCUGGUCAGAAGGUAGGGAGUUAGCUCACUAUUGCUCAUAGUUAGUUACAGAUUGAACUCCUUGUUCCACCACUUUCUCCCCUUCUCCCUACUGUACUUGACUAGUCUAUA